CUGGGAGUGUGCAGGGGGCCCGGACUGAGGGGGUGCCAGCCCCCGACUCACUCACACACCUUGGCCGCCACAGGAGCCAGGGAGUAACGAAGAGAUCAAAGAGUUCGCCGCGGGCUACAACGUCAAAUUCGAUAUGUUCAGCAAGAUCUGCGUGAACGGGGACGACGCCCACCCGCUGUGGAAGUGGAUGAAGAUCCAACCCAAGGGCAAGGGCAUCCUGGGAAAGUGCGUGACCUCUGGGGACAGUACGGCUGCUGGGGUGGG
RNAcentral lists this long non-coding RNA (264 nucleotides) under Homo sapiens (human). RNAcentral describes it as "long non-coding RNA NONHSAT060226.2". The record is from RNAcentral. Lineage: Eukaryota; Metazoa; Chordata; Mammalia; Primates; Hominidae.